AAUAGAUACCCCGGUAGCCCACGCCGUAAACGAUGAGUGCUAAGUGUUAGAGGGUUUCCGCCCUUUAGUGCUGCAGCUAACGCAUUAAGCACUCCGCCUGGGGAGUACGGUCGCAAGACUGAAACUCAAAGGAAUUGACGGGGGCCCGCACAAGCGGUGGAGCAUGUGGUUUAAUUCGAAGCAACGCGAAGAACCUUACCAGGUCUUGACAUCCCACUGACCGAUAUAGAGAUAUACCUUUCCCUUCGGGGACAGUGGUGACAGGUGGUGCAUGAUUGUCGUCAACUCGUGUCGUGAGAUGUUGGGUUAAGUCCCGCAACGAGCGCAACCCUUGAUCUUAGUUGCCAGCAUUUAGUUGGGCACUCUAAGGUGACUGCCGGUGACAAACCGGAGGAAGGUGGGGAUGACGUCAAAUCAUCAUGCCCCUUAUGACCUGGGCUACACACGUGCUACAAUGGAUGGUACAAAGGGCUGCAAGACUGCGAAGUCAAGCCAAUCCCAUAAAACCAUUCUCAGUUCGGAUUGCAGG
Molecule: ribosomal RNA, 529 nt
Filed under: uncultured bacterium
Lineage: Bacteria
Description: bacterial SSU rRNA
Rfam family: Bacterial small subunit ribosomal RNA
Source: RNAcentral